GUGUUCGCUUUGGCAGCACAUGUACUAAAAUUAGAACAACACAGAGAAUAACGUGGCCCUGUGCAAGGAUGACACACAAAUUUGUGAAGCAUUCCGUUUUUUU
This is a small nuclear RNA of Diceros bicornis minor, 103 nucleotides long. Lineage: Eukaryota; Metazoa; Chordata; Mammalia; Perissodactyla; Rhinocerotidae. The record is from RefSeq and is a predicted model, not a curated record.